GCUGCCCUCAGGAGGGUUAUACCCCGUGGGGGUGGGGGGUGGGCAAUCCUGCAGCAGAUAGAGCUACAUUUGGGAGCUGCACAGCGGGCACAGGGGGCCGAUGGGGACACAGAAGGAUCAGGAAACCCUGCUAGGAGUAGAGGCAUCUUGAAAUUACCAGGCCAUUCCAGGCAUCCCCAUCCUAAGGUAUGGCUGGGUGUUGAGCCCCUGUGUGGGGCAGCAGGAAGGGCCUGAACUGACCUGUAGCUCUCAUCUAGGGGGGAUUCUGUCCGCCAGGGAACACUGGCAAUGUCUGGGGACAUUGGGGUUAUCACAGCCUCAGGGGAGGGCGCUGUUGGCAUCUGGUGGGUGGAGGCCAGGGAUGCUGCUUAACCUGCUGUGGUACACAGGGCAGGCCCCAAUGUGGAGAGUAGUCCUGCCCUCAAUGUCAGUGGCUUUAACUCUGGGUUGACAAGAU
This 457-nucleotide long non-coding RNA is filed under the name Homo sapiens (human). RNAcentral describes it as "non-protein coding lnc-USE1-1:1". Lineage: Eukaryota; Metazoa; Chordata; Mammalia; Primates; Hominidae. The record is from RNAcentral.